UACGUAGGGGGCAAGCGUUGUCCGGAAUCAUUGGGCGUAAAGCGCGUGUAGGCGGCUGACUAAGUCCGCUCUGAAAGCCCGGGGCUCAACCCCGGGAGGCGGAUGGAUACUGCAAGGCUCGAGUCCGGAAGAGGCGAGUGGAAUUCCCGGUGUAGCGGUGAAAUGCGCAGAUAUCGGGAGGAACACCAAUGGCGAAGGCAGCUCGCUGGGACGGUACUGACGCUGAGACGCGAAAGCGUGGGGAGCAAACAGG
RNAcentral lists this ribosomal RNA (253 nucleotides) under uncultured bacterium. RNAcentral's name for it is "partial 16S ribosomal RNA". It matches the Rfam family "Bacterial small subunit ribosomal RNA", at positions 524 to 776 of the family's 1533-position model. The record is from RNAcentral.